UGGCGAUCGAUAGAAAUGGGCUAUGUUUUUAGCUUUUUAUAUGUUUYUGUUUUGAAGAUUAUGCCGGGGAAGGUUUUCCGGUUUAUCCCGGAGGGCUUGUAGCUCAGUUGGUUAGAGCGCGCGCUUGAUAAGCGUGAGGUCGGAGGUUCAAGUCCUCCCAGGCCCACCAAUUUAAUUAAAAGCUGAUGAAGCGCUUAUUGUCAGACGCAAAUGAUAUAUGCGGUUUAUCAAUGACGCUGAAGCGAUUUUAACUCAGAUUUAAAGAUCUUAACUCAUAUUUAAAUUUGUAAUUUUAUCAAUUUAUGCGUUUUGUUUUUUAUCCUUAUUUAGGGGCCGUAGCUCAGCUGGGAGAGCACCUGCUUUGCAAGCAGGGGGCCUUCG
Molecule: unclassified non-coding RNA, 381 nt
Filed under: Bartonella sp.
Lineage: Bacteria; Pseudomonadati; Pseudomonadota; Alphaproteobacteria; Hyphomicrobiales; Bartonellaceae
Description: partial 16S-23S ribosomal RNA intergenic spacer
Rfam family: tRNA (bases 93-166)
Source: RNAcentral